UGCAGUCGAGCGGAAACGACUUAACUGAACCUUCGGGGGACGUUAAGGGCGUCGAGCGGCGGACGGGUGAGUAAUGCCUGGGAAUAUGCCUUAGUGUGGGGGAUAACUAUUGGAAACGAUAGCUAAUACCGCAUAAUGUCUUCGGACCAAAGAGGGGGACCUUCGGGCCUCUCGCGCUAAGAUUAGCCCAGGUGAGAUUAGCUAGUUGGUGAGGUAAGAGCUCACCAAGGCGACGAUCUCUAGCUGGUCUGAGAGGAUGAUCAGCCACACUGGAACUGAGACACGGUCCAGACUCCUACGGGAGGCAGCAGUGGGGAAUAUUGCACAAUGGGCGAAAGCCUGAUGCAGCCAUGCCGCGUGUAUGAAGAAGGCCUUCGGGUUGUAAAGUACUUUCAGUAGGGAGGAAGGUGUUGUAGUUAAUAGCUGCAGCAUUUGACGUUACCUACAGAAGAAGCACCGGCUAACUCCGUGCCAGCAGCCGCGGUAAUACGGAGGGUGCGAGCGUUGAUCGGAAUUACUGGGCGUAAAGCGCAUGCAGGUGGUUCAUUAAGUCAGAUGUGAAAGCCCGGGGCUCAACCUCGGAACCGCAUUUGAAACUGGUGAACUAGAGUGCUGU
RNAcentral lists this ribosomal RNA (616 nucleotides) under uncultured Vibrio sp. Its description in RNAcentral is "bacterial SSU rRNA". It matches the Rfam family "Bacterial small subunit ribosomal RNA", at positions 56 to 652 of the family's 1533-position model. Lineage: Bacteria; Pseudomonadati; Pseudomonadota; Gammaproteobacteria; Vibrionales; Vibrionaceae. The record is from RNAcentral.